RNAcentral lists this ribosomal RNA (497 nucleotides) under uncultured bacterium. RNAcentral describes it as "partial 16S ribosomal RNA". It matches the Rfam family "Bacterial small subunit ribosomal RNA", at positions 28 to 507 of the family's 1533-position model. The record is from RNAcentral.
GAUGAACGCUGGCGGCGUGCCUAAUACAUGCAAGUCGAGCGAACGGACGAGAAGCUUGCUUCUCUGAUGUUAGCGGCGGACGGGUGAGUAAUACGUGGAUAACCUACCUAUAAGACUGGGAUAACUUCGGGAAACCGUAGCUAAUACCGGAUAAUAUUUUGAACCGCAUGGUGCAAAAGUGAAAGACGGUCUUGCUGUCACUUAUAGAUGGAUCCGCGCGGCAUUAGCUAGUUGGUAAGGUAACGGCUUACCAAGGCAACGAUGCAUAGCCGACCUGAGAGGGUGAUCGGCCACACUGGAACUGAGACACGGUCCAGGCUCCUACGGGAGGCAGCAGUAGGGAAUCUUCCGCAAUGGGCGAAAGCCUGACGGAGCAACGCCGCGUGAGUGAUGAAGGUCUUCGGAUCGUAAAACUCUGUUAUUAGGGAAGAACAUAUGUGUAAGUAACUGUGCACAUCUUGACGGUACCUAAUCAGAAAGCCACGGCUAACUACGUG